UGUCCGUAUUUUACAGGAAUGCAGCAUACAUUUUCCCUUCUGCCUGCACUGUUGUUGCUCUGGUGCCAUGGCUGCAGGGCUGGAGUUUCAGUGGAGCCUGGGUGGCCUGCAAGGCCAGAAAUAGCUACUUAUUACUUGGCCUUAGCAGGAGAAGUUUGCCAGAGUCUGUCCCAUUCCCAACAUAGGAAAACACCUAAUGGAUAAUGGCGGUGAGGAUACAGAGGAUACACACAGCAGCUGUCACUGAAGCCAGGUCCAGAGAGAGCCUGUGAGUAGAAGGCAGCAAUUCCUAAAUGUUUUUGGACCUAAAUGCAUUAGAGAGAAAAUGCAUAUGCCAGUGGGAGGGUUUUGCCUUUUUUUUUCUUUUUUUCUGAUGUUCUUAGGCUAUGAUCUU
RNAcentral lists this long non-coding RNA (394 nucleotides) under Chinchilla lanigera (long-tailed chinchilla). RNAcentral describes it as "lncRNA (ENSCLAG00000026686.1)". Lineage: Eukaryota; Metazoa; Chordata; Mammalia; Rodentia; Chinchillidae. The record is from RNAcentral.